GUAGAUAUAGUUUGAACAAAAACAGUAGAUUGUGAUUCUGAAAAUAGAGGUUAGAGUCCCCUUAUCCACC
RNAcentral lists this transfer RNA (70 nucleotides) under Cephalopholis sexmaculata. RNAcentral describes it as "tRNA-His". It matches the Rfam family "tRNA". From Rfam's summary of the family: Transfer RNA (tRNA) molecules are approximately 80 nucleotides in length. Lineage: Eukaryota; Metazoa; Chordata; Actinopteri; Perciformes; Serranidae. RNAcentral also lists the same sequence under 1 other name. The record is from RNAcentral.